AGCUCCAAUAGCGUAUAUUAAGGUUGCUGCAGUUAAAAAGCUCGUAGUUGGAUUUGUGGCGCGGCCGUCCGGCGGGGGUCCUUCUAUGGUCUCGUUUGUCCUGGUUUUCGGCCGCUCCUUUCUCGGGUAGAGCGUAAUGGCUGGCAUUAGGUUGUCGGCCGCUUCGCGCCCGUCGUUUACUGUGAAAAAAUUAGAGUGUUCAAAGCAGGCUUAGGCCGUUGGAUACAUUAGCAUGGAAUAAUGAGAUAGGGCCACGGCGGUCUAUUUUGUUGGUUUGCACGUUGUGGUAAUGAUUAACAGGAACGGUUGGGGGUAUUCGUAUUCAAUUGUCAGAGGUGAAAUUCUUGGAUUUGUGGAAGACGAACUACUGCGAAAGCAUUUACCAAGGAUGUUUUCAUUA
Molecule: ribosomal RNA, 400 nt
Filed under: phytoplankton environmental sample
Lineage: Eukaryota
Description: partial small subunit ribosomal RNA
Rfam family: Eukaryotic small subunit ribosomal RNA
Source: RNAcentral